UGGGGAAUUUUGCACAAUGGGGGAAACCCUGAUGCAGCGACGCCGCGUGAUUUAGAAGGCCUUCGGGUUGUAAAAAUCUUUUGUAUAGGAAGAAAAUGACAGUACUAUACGAAUAAGGACCGGCUAAUUACGUGCCAGCAGCCGCGGUAAUACGUAAGGUCCGAGCGUUGUCCGGAAUCAUUGGGCGUAAAGGGUACGUAGGCGGGUAAGCAAGUUAGAAGUGAAAUCCUAUAGCUCAACUAUAGUAAGCUUUUAAAACUGCUCAUCUUGGGGGAUGGAAGGGAAAGGGGAAUUCCGAGUGUAGCGGUGAAAUGCACAGAUAUUAGGAGGAAUACCGGUGGCAAAGGCGACUUUCCGGCCAUAACCUGACGCAGGGGUACGAAAGCGUGGGUAGCAAACAGG
RNAcentral lists this ribosomal RNA (402 nucleotides) under Bacteroidota bacterium. RNAcentral describes it as "Bacteroidetes bacterium partial 16S ribosomal RNA". It matches the Rfam family "Bacterial small subunit ribosomal RNA", at positions 355 to 776 of the family's 1533-position model. The record is from RNAcentral. Lineage: Bacteria; Pseudomonadati; Bacteroidota.